Ditylenchus destructor is the source of this 87-nucleotide non-coding RNA. The record is from the annotation of a GenBank genome assembly. NCBI's taxonomy places the organism in Eukaryota, Metazoa, Nematoda, Chromadorea, Rhabditida, Anguinidae.
CCAGCGAUAGCUCAGUUGGUAGAGCGGGGCACUGUAGAGUUGAACGAAGCCAUGCUCAGGUCGGCGGAUCAAUCCCGUCUCGCUGGA